AUGGAAAAAAUGAAGGUGAAGAGCCAAAGUCUGCUGUUAAAAUUGUCGAAGAAGUGCUCAAGACCAAAGUCAAGCAAAGCAGAUUCCUCAGGAAUGUUGGGCUCCAGUCAUCUAGGAACAACUCCGGCAAAGCAACUGCUGAAGUGGCUGCUCAUGUUCGUGACCUUGAGCAGAAGCUGGAGAGGUCCGAGCUUCAAGCUGAAGUGA
Molecule: ribosomal RNA, 207 nt
Filed under: Triticum aestivum (bread wheat)
Lineage: Eukaryota; Viridiplantae; Streptophyta; Magnoliopsida; Poales; Poaceae
Description: partial small subunit ribosomal RNA
Source: RNAcentral